GACGGGACCCGCACAAGCGGUGGAUGAUGUUGGUUUAAUUCGAUGCAACGCGAAAACCUUACCCACCUUUGACAUGUACGGAAUCCUUUAGAGAUAGAGGAGUGCUCGAAAGAGAACCUGCACACAGGUGCUGCAUGGCUGUCGUCAGCUCGUGUCGUGAGAUGUUGGGUUAAGUCCCGCAACGAGCGCAACCCUUGCCAUUAGUUGCUACGAAAGGGCACUCUAAUGGGACUGCCGGUGACAAACCGGAGGAAGGUGGGGAUGACGUCAAGUCCUCAUGGCCCUUAUAGGUGGGGCUACACACGUCAUACAAUGGCCGGUACAGAGGGUAGCCAACCCGCGAGGGGGAGCCAAUCCCACAAAGCCGGUCGUAGUCCGGAUCGCAGUCUGCAACUCGACUGCGUGAAGUCGGAAUCGCUAGUAAUCGCGGAUCAGCAUGUCGCGGUGAAUACGUUCCCGGGUCUU
RNAcentral lists this ribosomal RNA (465 nucleotides) under uncultured Comamonas sp. Its description in RNAcentral is "bacterial SSU rRNA". It matches the Rfam family "Bacterial small subunit ribosomal RNA", at positions 916 to 1381 of the family's 1533-position model. Lineage: Bacteria; Pseudomonadati; Pseudomonadota; Betaproteobacteria; Burkholderiales; Comamonadaceae. The record is from RNAcentral.